AACGAACGCUGGCGGCAUGCCUAACACAUGCAAGUCGGACGAGACCUUCUGUUCUAGUUGCGCACGGGUGCGUAACGCGUUGGAACCUUCCCUUAGGGUCGGAAUAACUCCCCGAAAGGGGUUCUAAUACCGGAUAAUGUCGUCGGACCAAAGAUUUAGCGCCUUUGGAUGGGCCCGCGUUUGAUUUGCUCGUUGGUAGGGGAAAAGCAUCCCAAGGAGAAGUGCCAUAGCUGGUCUGAGAGGAUACUCCGACACACUGGGACUGAGACACGGCCCAGACCCAUACGGGAGGCAGCAGUGGAGAAUAUUGGAAUAGGGGAGAGAGCCUGAUCGAGAAAUGCCGCGUGAGUGAUGAAGGCAUUAGGGUUGUAAAGCUUUUUUCCCAGGGAUGAUAAUGACAGUACCGGGAGAAUAAGCUCCGGCUAACUCCGUG
This 433-nucleotide ribosomal RNA is filed under the name uncultured bacterium. Its description in RNAcentral is "partial 16S ribosomal RNA". It matches the Rfam family "Bacterial small subunit ribosomal RNA", at positions 29 to 507 of the family's 1533-position model. The record is from RNAcentral.